Molecule: ribosomal RNA, 447 nt
Filed under: uncultured bacterium
Lineage: Bacteria
Description: bacterial SSU rRNA
Rfam family: Bacterial small subunit ribosomal RNA
Source: RNAcentral
AGAGUUUGAUCCUGGCUCAGAUUGAACGCUGGCGGCAUGCCUUACACAUGCAAGUCGAACGGUAACAGCACUUCGGUGGCUGACGAGUGGCGAACGGGUGAGUAAUACAUCGGAACGUGCCCGAGAGUGGGGGAUAACGCAGCGAAAGCUGUGCUAAUACCGCAUACGAUCUACGGAUGAAAGCAGGGGACCGCAAGGCCUUGCGCUCAUGGAGCGGCCGAUGGCAGAUUAGGUAGUUGGUGGGAUAAAAGCUUACCAAGCCGACGAUCUGUAGCUGGUCUGAGAGGACGACCAGCCACACUGGGACUGAGACACGGCCCAGACUCCUACGGGAGGCAGCAGUGGGGAAUUUUGGACAAUGGGCGAAAGCCUGAUCCAGCCAUGCCGCGUGCAGGAUGAAGGCCUUCGGGUUGUAAACUGCUUUUGUACGGAACGAAAAGGUCUUUU